AUUGAACGCUGGCGGCAUGCUUUACACAUGCAAGUCGAACGGUAACAGGCCGCAAGGUGCUGACGAGUGGCGAACGGGUGAGUAAUGCAUCGGAACGUGCCCAGUCGUGGGGGAUAACUACUCGAAAGAGUAGCUAAUACCGCAUACGAUCUAUGGAUGAAAGCGGGGGACCGUAAGGCCUCGCGCGAUUGGAGCGGCCGAUGUCAGAUUAGGUAGUUGGUGGGGUAAAGGCUCACCAAGCCAACGAUCUGUAGCUGGUCUGAGAGGACGACCAGCCACACUGGGACUGAGACACGGCCCAGACUCCUACGGGAGGCAGCAGUGGGGAAUUUUGGACAAAGGGCGCAAGCCUGAUCCAGCAAUGCCGCGUGCAGGAAGAAGGCCUUCGGGUUGUAAACUGCUUUUGUACGGAACGAAACGGCUCUGGUUAAUACCCGGGGCUAAUGACGGUGCCGUAAGAAUAAGCACCGGCUAACUACGUG
RNAcentral lists this ribosomal RNA (482 nucleotides) under uncultured bacterium. RNAcentral describes it as "partial 16S ribosomal RNA". It matches the Rfam family "Bacterial small subunit ribosomal RNA", at positions 30 to 507 of the family's 1533-position model. The record is from RNAcentral.